Molecule: ribosomal RNA, 403 nt
Filed under: bacterium
Lineage: Bacteria
Description: partial 16S ribosomal RNA
Rfam family: Bacterial small subunit ribosomal RNA
Source: RNAcentral
UGGGGAAUAUUGCACAAUGGGGGAAACCCUGAUGCAGCGACGCCGCGUGAACGAAGAAGGUAUUCGUAUCGUAAAGUUCUGUCCUAUGGGAAGAUAAUGACAGUACCAUAGAAGAAAGCUCCGGCUAAAUACGUGCCAGCAGCCGCGGUAAUACGUAUGGAGCGAGCGUUGUCCGGAAUUAUUGGGCGUAAAGGGUACGCAGGCGGUUUAAUAAGUCGAAUGUUAAAGAUCGGGGCUCAACCCCGGAAAGCAUUGGAAACUGAUAAACUUGAGUAGUGGAGAGGAAAGUGGAAUUCCUAGUGUAGUGGUGAAAUACGUAGAUAUUAGGAGGAAUACCAGUAGCGAAGGCGACUUUCUGGACACAAACUGACGCUGAGGUACGAAAGCGUGGGGAGCAAACAGG